Nothobranchius furzeri (turquoise killifish) is the source of this 1719-nucleotide non-coding RNA. The record is from RefSeq and is a predicted model, not a curated record. NCBI's taxonomy places the organism in Eukaryota, Metazoa, Chordata, Actinopteri, Cyprinodontiformes, Nothobranchiidae.
AGAACAGUCUCAAUAAGAAUUAAGUCACACAACGUUUUCCACAAAUGCACACGUUCAUUCGGAAAUCCACAUUCUGUGUUUCACAAAUAUAAUUCGGAGGAACACAAAUGCACACGCUCAUUCGGAAAUUCACACUCUUUGACUCAUAAAUAUAAUGUGAAAAAAUAAGUCACGCAACAUUUUCCACAAAUGCACAUGCUAAUUCUGAAGUUCACACUCUGUGGUUCACAAAUAUAAUUUGUAAGAACACUUGUAAUAUAAACUCAGAUCGUACGAAUUGCUGAACGUGCAUUUACGAACAGCUUCUCAUUUGUGAACCUUUCCGCGUUUGUGAGUGAAAUCUGUGUGGUGCAUUCACGAACAGCUUCUCAUUUGUGAACCUUCCUGCAUUCGUGAGAGAAAUCGGUGUGCUGAAUUUUGAGACUCUCCUAACGUCGCAGGUCAACAAACGUCACCAUUGGCUAAUGAACCUGUCAAUCAAAUAUAUGCUUCUGCCAGGGCUGUUCGCUUUCAGCCAAUCAUAUGGGUCCUUAUGUCACAGAACAGAUCUGCUGUGCGCAUGCGCAUUGCAGUUCACACGGCAGAGCAGGAUGGACCGGUCACGAUCUAUCAUGUACCUGAAGGUAGCUGACAACAACCGGGCAGACACCCACCUUGCCUUCUUCAGUGAAGCUGUGAAUGAGCAUGGCUUUCCUCUGAGAUCAUGGCGGAGAAAAUGUAGGUGUUGCAGAAUUAAUGUUCUCAGUUCGUGGAACUGACACCAACAGCUUCAUUGCAGGAAAAAGUGUACACAAUCAACGGCCAGCCUGGAUGUCUUUAGAGAUGCGUGGGACAACCAUCCAAUCAGGACAGAGGAAAACAUGACACCAAAUCAGCUGUGGCAUCUGGGCCAGGCUCUGAAUCCUGUUUCUGAUCCAGGGGCAAAUGGUAUACCGACACCAGAGAUUGAAUGGGAGGAGAACGGAUACAUGACUUAACCUCAUCCUGGGAUCAGUGUCCCUGUACUGGACAGUCCUCUUUCAGAUCAUGAAAUGUUGGAACUGCAGGACAGCAUUAAUCCGUUGCAACAUUCAGACUCUUUUGGGAGUGGACACAUCUUCACACUGUCCAGUAUGUUGAGAACUUACUUGAGGCUAGAUGAUUACAUGUGUGAAGAAGGAAGGAGAGAGAAGGUAGGGAGUUAGGAAGAAAGAAAAAUAAUUAAUGAGACAGGAAGGAAGAAAGUUAAAAGUGAAGGAGUGGUCCAUUUUAAGGUUAAUAUUCUGUAUAUUGUUAUUCAAGGGAUUUGCCGUCGUAAAUAUGAAAUGCUAAAGGAUAGACCCCAAAAUAGAUGUCUAAAUUCAUUUAUAGUUGUGUAUUUCCUUAAAGUCUUUGUCAGCCUGAUUUAUUUUAGACCAGGAAUGUAUUUGAAAAGGCUGCUGUUCACUUCAUCUAUGCUACAAUUCUUCAAAAUGUAAAUGUGCUAUCAUUGCUAGUGUUGGUUUAGUAACAUGCAUCUUCCUGUGUAUCCAGCUCUAAUAAAAACAUUUAAAGGUGAAGCACCUACUUAUCAGGAGAUCCAUUUAUUUUUACAUGUUAUUGUUUGAAUUUUGUCUCGUUUCAUAACUUUUGCUCAACAUUUAAGGGGAACUGUGUUACCCUGCGAUCAUCUUCAUUACACUUGAAAACUUGUACUAUACCUCCGUCCGUCUACUUAUUAAAUGGAAUAACAUGACAAGA